Molecule: unclassified non-coding RNA, 1493 nt
Filed under: Amphimedon queenslandica
Lineage: Eukaryota; Metazoa; Porifera; Demospongiae; Haplosclerida; Niphatidae
Description: ufm1-specific protease 2-like, transcript variant X3
Source: RNAcentral
AUCACUAGAUACAGCAAUCACUACUUUAAUCAUAUGAAGACACACUCCAACAGAGGAAUUCAUUCUAAUGCCCCUCUUCAUAAAGAGGACUAUUAUCAGAUACUUGGGAUACCACGGACUGCUGAUGCCAAAGAAAUAAAGAAAGCUUAUUAAAAAUUUUGAUAAAGAGAACAAUAUACUAUUGAUCAUUAAUAGUGAUGAAAUAGUUAAAGGUUACAGGGUAUCAGAAAAGAAGGGGCUUGUGCAAUUGUCUGUUGAUAAAAAUGUAAAGGAUUAUGUUAAUCAUAAUGGAGUGAUGUUUCACCUAACGGCACAAUUUAAAUGCUAUUUACCAUAUAAGGAUUUAACAGAGAGUGUCAUUGUCGAUCGGUUGCAGCAGUUCAUUAGUAGGUGUGUCCUUUGGUUGCCAGGACAACAAGUAUUGCUAGAGGAUGAAAAAGAGAAGCAUAUUGUAUUCACACCAACUGGACUGGACAAACCACCAGUUGUUGUUGAACUACUUCAGAAGAGUCCAUCUUCGUCUGGUCUGUACCCUCUCACUGUUACCAUGACACCAAUGACCACACCCACUUUAGUCCUACCAGUGACCUUUGAUUUGAUUGGUUUAUUCUGCAAUGAUAUCGACACUCGUCUGGUUGCUAAGCAACUGAGAAACAGACUACAGGAACAAAUAAAAUUAAUAGCACAAACCAUCAUGGUUGAUAAAGCUACUAAUGAUCAAGACAUUCAUUCAGUUUUUUUCUUUCAUUUUAACUUACCCAAUCAACAUGUUCCCAUCACUAUCCCAUACCCUGACCUCCCUCUCUCUACUGAUAUCAGGGUCAUUCCUUCUCCUCUUCCAGACUCUUCUCUUCUCUCCCUUCGAACUAAACUCCAUCAAACCUUUUGCCUUCCAACUAAUCGACCGUUUCUACGAAAGACUAACAGACAAUGGUCACCUUGGAAGCAGGAGGCACGCCUGUUUGAUCCACACGUGUCAUUAAAUUUGACAGAAGGUGGCGACGGAUUAGCUUUGGUGAAUGGUAGCUAUCUUUAUUAUCAUUACAUGCAAGAAAAGUUUAAUGACAAGGGUUGGGGCUGUGCUUAUAGAUCCCUCCAGACAAUAUGGUCUUGGUUUCGUUGUCAAGGCUACACUGAUGCACCUGUUCCUACCCACAGGGAGAUACAGCAGACACUGGUUGAUUGUGGAGAUAAAGAGAAACCAUUCAUUGGCUCUUCUGAAUGGAUCGGAUCAAUUGAAGUCAGUACUGUCCUCAGUCACUCAUUACAGAGUCUCGUAUUCAUCACUGCUCAAGAGGAGCUGAUAUCGCCGGUACCGGUCGUCUUUUACAGCAUCAUUUUAGAAACCAGGGCACACCCGUAAUGAUAGGGGGUGGGGUUUUAGCUCAUACCAUAUUAGGAGUUGACUAUGAUGAGCAAUCUGGUGAUAUUAAGUUUUUGAUUCUUGAUCCUCAUUACACUGGCCCUGAGGACAUUAAUUUGAUAAAUGGAAA